AGAGCACUAUACCAACUCCACGGACUGCGCCGAUAUCACGGAGAUCCCCGUCUGCCCAACAUCAUUCGGCACAAUGGAAAUUUGCUGUGGAUCGACUUCAUGCGAAUUAACCUCGAAACCCCCACUGCGGCCGAUUUUCCUGAAUUCGUGAAGCAUGAUGUUAAAAUUUUACU
Molecule: non-coding RNA, 173 nt
Filed under: Durinskia baltica
Lineage: Eukaryota; Dinophyceae; Peridiniales; Kryptoperidiniaceae
Source: RNAcentral